UGGGAUAUAGCCAAGCGGUAAGGCAACGGACUUUGACUCCGUCACUCGUGGGUUCAAAUCCCGCUAUCCCAG
Molecule: transfer RNA, 72 nt
Filed under: [Eubacterium] siraeum DSM 15702
Lineage: Bacteria; Bacillati; Bacillota; Clostridia; Eubacteriales; Oscillospiraceae
Also listed under: 2 other names
Description: tRNA-Gln
Rfam family: tRNA
About the family: Transfer RNA (tRNA) molecules are approximately 80 nucleotides in length. Their secondary structure includes four short double-helical elements and three loops (D, anti-codon, and T loops).
Source: RNAcentral